CUCCGCUCUCUGUACUUUAUAUCUGCUGGAUUUUUUUGUGUUCUGUGGGUUCCUGCCGGUGCUAGACUAGUUGGUGGUGUUCUCUGGUUUAUUACUUACCUAUGUCGACUGUGCUGGUUGGCUAGCUAGGCUAGUUAUCUGGCUAGGCUAGAUAGACUAACUAACUCCAGCUGGCUUAAGUUAACUGCAUUUACCAGUAACAUUAUUUAAUAACUGGUUAGAGGGUGUUAUGUAUUUCCAAAACUUUGGUUUACUUUAAUAUAGCUGUAAGCUAGGUGUUGAUAGCAACUGGCUGACUCAUGCAAUGCUAACGUAACAUUAGCAGGCUGGUAGGGAUAAUGUUAGCAGGCUAGUUGGCUUGCAACCUCGUAAGCUGAUUUGUAACAAAUUCAUAAAGUAUUUGCUUGUAAAUGGGCAGAUUUUUUUAUUUUAUUGAAACCAGUAGUUGUGAGUUGGAGUAACAUUAUAGGGAAUAGGCUGGCUUGCUGGGUCCUCCAUAUUACAUCACACCCCGUAAAAGCAUUUCCCGGCAUGACUUGGCAUUUGACUGAAUUCUAAUCUAUUUUAUGUAAUAACUCGUAAAAUGGGAAAGAGAGGUGUAACUUUGCAUUGGGACUUUUCAUGCGUAUACUAAUGCAAAUCUGUCACACCCUGAUCUGUUUCACCUGUCUUGUGCUUGUCUCCACCCCCCUCCGGGUGUCGAUCAUUUUCCCCAUUAUCCCCUGUGCAUUUAUACCUGUGGUCUCUGUCUGUUGCCAGUUUGCCUGUACUCAUGUUUCUCUCUAGCCCUUGUUUUUCUGGUUUUAACCACCUUGCCUGCCCUGACCCUGUCCUGGAUUACUGACCUCUGCCUGCCUGCCCCCUGUUUUGUUAAUAAACAUAUGUUAUUCAAACUGUCUGCAUCUGGGUCUUAUUCUGAGGUCUGAUACAAAUCCAUGACAAAGUUACUUUUUCAAAUACUCCUACAGAGUUACAUGCAGGUAAGACGUUCUCUUUCUGAUACUACAUAUAAAUCAGCAGGUUCUAAAUAACUCUAUAAAAUUUGAGAGAUGAGCUCAAUUUCAAAAAUAUCACUUUUACCAAGAUGAACUGCUUUUCCUUUGUCCUCCACACAUGUUCAUGUAGCUGCAGAUCACCUACAGUAACAAACUAAUGAUAAUGCUAUUCUGUAUUCUAAUGUUACCCAAGACCUUCAGAAACACAAACAAAGGAUGUUUUUUUUUUCCGAGAGCAUUUCUGAAAUGUAUUCUUUAGACUGUUAGAAUGUUGCAGUAAAAACAGCAUGAAUCCAGCUCAUUGGCGUAGUAAGGGGGGAAUCGAGGCCUGGCAGUUUAAGUGUUAAAAACUGAACCCAAAUCAACUUACCUUGGCUCCUGCUGCUCCAGUGUUUCCUCGGGGGCCAAAGUCCCCUGCAUCCCCCUGAGAGCCCUAACGAGGACAUGCAGAAAACAUGGACACGGAUGGUGACAGGGCAGAAUAUUAUUUUCUCAUUUCAUUACAUCACCUGUCAUAGAUAUCACCUGUUUAACGGUUAGUGGAACACCUCUGCUCUUACCAGGUAUUAUUAUAAUUAUUUAGGGCAGUAUUCACCUGAAGUCCCGCCUCUCCACCCUCACCUGGUGGACCACGGACCCCUGGGAAACCUGGUGCCCCCUGGAACUCCUCUCACCCCCUCUGGGCCUAGUUCUCCCUGCAAGAUGCAACACAAUGAAUACAACCAACAUCGAAUCGACUAUUGCGAUGCAGUAAAAACAGAUGAGAUGUUUGAUGUUUGUAGUUUGUUGGUGGAAACCUUAUCUCCUCUCUUGCCAGCCUUGCCCCGUCGUCCAGCUCUGCCACUGUCUCCUCUGCUUCCCUGAAAGAGACAUGUUCUCAUGUUUCACCAGGACCCAAAUAAAACGCGUCAGUGUAAA
Molecule: long non-coding RNA, 1913 nt
Organism: Oncorhynchus mykiss (rainbow trout)
Lineage: Eukaryota; Metazoa; Chordata; Actinopteri; Salmoniformes; Salmonidae
Source: RefSeq, a predicted model, not a curated record